UGCCUGUCUUGUGACAAGGAACCAAUCAGAAGUUAGCUGGUGGUGCUAUGCUUUAUGGCUCUGGGUGUGCUUUACGGACAAGCGCACAGCAAUGACGUAGAGAGCAUAGCAACCACCCUGGGAGGGCCUAUGAGCCAUAACAACCAGUUGACCAAUCAACACAGGGCAAGCCCUCCAAGCCUGGAGGCACACCAAUCGUAAGCCUGUGCGUACCCCUAGACACUCCCCUUACGCUGCCCUAUAAGAUCUUUGGGGAGACCUUAGGAGCCGUCUUUUUCUAGCCGUCUGCCAUGGCGGGUGGGUGAAAGACCCGAGCUAACAUGGGGUUAGUUCGUUAAAUUACAAUAAAGCCUCGUGCAGUUUGCAGCAAGCUCUCGAAUCCGCCUGGUGAUUGGGGUGACCGCGAACCUGGCCUGAGACCCCGGAUACUUGAGUUUUCGGGGGUCUAACAUUUUGGGGGCUCGUCCGCGAUUUGCGACCACCCUUCACCUGAGUGGAUUCGAUCUUGGAGGGGGUCAGGGGUCUUUUCUUGAUUCUCUGAGCACGUGGCGCCACCUCAACUGUGAUCGGCAGAUGCGCCCUGUGGACAGACUGCCACUCUGAGGACACCCAGGACCCAGGAGGUAUGGACUCGGGCCAAGGACACUUGGACCCGCCUCAGUUAGCCGCCGAGUUCUGCCGCCGUCUUCCCGGCGCCAUUGCCUUAUGAGCAGCGUGGGCGGAUUGGGUUGGCGUCUGUUCUUUCCUGUCUAUUCUGUGUUAUCAUCAUUGGUUUUCAAUUCAGGAUCCACCACGCCACCCCCUUUCUAUCCCCACCUGCGGGUCUGAGGCAUGCCCAGUAGGACUGUUUCUGCCCCAGCUGCCGUUAUGGCUGUUUCCCUGCUCUGGGGGAACAUGGCUACAAGGCCGCCAUCUGCUACCCGUCUUUCUGUGCUCCACACACAUGGUAUGCAGGGGGGCCGCAGGAGUCUUUUUCCCACCCCUGGAUUGGCCAAGGGUCUGGGGUUACCAGCAGCACCCCCACCCCAGGUCUCUCUGCCUUGAGCACAUGGAGCUAGCUCAGGCAGGUGAACCAUCUGUCCUGAUCCGGAUAUUCUAAAAACAAUAACAACAAAAAAGGGCCUUAAAGUUAUUAAAAAUUGUAAAAGGGACUUUGACAAAAUUUUUAUGUUGACUAAAAAAUGGGAAAAAAUGUAAAAAAACUUAAAUAAUAAAGAGGAAAAGAAAAAAAGAAA
This 1235-nucleotide long non-coding RNA is filed under the name Cricetulus griseus (Chinese hamster). Its description in RNAcentral is "lncRNA (ENSCGRG00015036555.1)". The record is from RNAcentral. Lineage: Eukaryota; Metazoa; Chordata; Mammalia; Rodentia; Cricetidae.